Molecule: ribosomal RNA, 243 nt
Filed under: uncultured Lactobacillus sp.
Lineage: Bacteria; Bacillati; Bacillota; Bacilli; Lactobacillales; Lactobacillaceae
Description: partial 16S ribosomal RNA
Rfam family: Bacterial small subunit ribosomal RNA
Source: RNAcentral
GGGUAACCUGCCCAAGAGAUCGGGAUAACACCUGGAAACAGAUGCUAAUACCGGAUAACAACAGAUGAUGCCUAUCAACUGUUUAAAAGAUGGUUCUGCUAUCACUCUUGGAUGGACCUGCGGUGCAUUAGCUAGUUGGUAGGGUAACGGCCUACCAAGGCGAUGACGCAUAGCCGAGUUGAGAGACUGAUCGGCCACAUUGGGACUGAGACACGGCCCAAACUCCUACGGGAGGCAGCAGGC